Molecule: small nucleolar RNA, 84 nt
Organism: Hippoglossus stenolepis (Pacific halibut)
Lineage: Eukaryota; Metazoa; Chordata; Actinopteri; Pleuronectiformes; Pleuronectidae
Product: small nucleolar RNA SNORD66
Exons: 1
Source: RefSeq, a predicted model, not a curated record
CUCCAAUGAUGACUUCUGUUUUGUGCCAAGUGUCUGGGCCACUGAAUGUUCAUGAUGGUAUUGAGCAUACCCAAAUCACUGUAC